AGGAAGCACAUUGCUUGGUCCAAUCUACGGUUCUGUUGGUAGAAAGAACUCUCGAACGACACCGAAAAGACCAACACCAGCUAGUUGCAGUAGACUUGGUAGUAGCGCAAGUGCCAAAAACCAGAGGAAUCUUGCCAAAGGGAGUUCAUCAGGGCCAAAGAGGAUCAAUUUUUAUUCACCCAUCAUGAAAUGACCUGGGCACCCCAAAAGCCUGCAUUGUUUUUACUCUCCUCUUGUGAAAUGACCCCGGCACCUCCAACGCCUGCAUUAUUCACUGUGUAUUAUGACCAAUGCUGUGAAUCCCUGGCUUUGCUUCACAUGCAACAUGGCAUCAACCAUUUUGUUCACAUUAUUAAGCUCUUGUUGGAACUUGGUUGUGCCUUUUUACAUUUGCUUUCUUCAGUGUGAUAU
Long non-coding RNA from Rhipicephalus sanguineus (brown dog tick), 411 nucleotides. RefSeq lists it as uncharacterized. Lineage: Eukaryota; Metazoa; Arthropoda; Arachnida; Ixodida; Ixodidae. The record is from RefSeq and is a predicted model, not a curated record. The transcript is spliced from 3 exons.